UAUACAUACACACACAUAUAU
This 21-nucleotide microRNA is filed under the name Mus musculus (house mouse). RNAcentral's name for it is "mmu-miR-467g". Its record names the gene mmu-miR-467g. The record is from miRBase by way of RNAcentral. Lineage: Eukaryota; Metazoa; Chordata; Mammalia; Rodentia; Muridae.